Molecule: RNA transcript, 2731 nt
Organism: Setaria italica (foxtail millet)
Lineage: Eukaryota; Viridiplantae; Streptophyta; Magnoliopsida; Poales; Poaceae
Gene name: protein SUPPRESSOR OF FRI 4
Exons: 7
Source: RefSeq, a predicted model, not a curated record
AUCCCGCACCGACCGACCAAGCCCCCAACCCGCACGAGACGAGAGCGGCGUGCGCGUCCGCGUCGCGUGACGUCUUCGCCCUCGCCUUCUUCCUUCCUCCUCUUCCCCGCUCCCUCCCCCGCCUCCCCGACCUCGCCGAAACCCUAGCCCAACUCCCCGCCGCCGGAGAGAGAGAGGAAGGAGCGGGGGGCGUCAGGAAGGGGUGCGCCGAUGGGGAAGAAGAAGAAGCGCGUGGAGAAGGUCUUCUGCUACUACUGCGACCGCGAGUUCGACGACGAGAAGAUCCUCGUCCAGCACCAGAAGGCCAAGCACUUCAAGUGCCACGUCUGCCACAAGAAGCUCUCCACCGCCUCCGGCAUGGCCAUACACGUCCUCCAGGUCCACAAGGAGUCCGUCACCAAGGUUCCUAAUGCGAAGCCUGAUAGGGAGUCCACAGACAUUGAGAUCUUUGGAAUGCAAGGAAUCCCUGCACAUGUAUUGGCUGCUCACUACGGAGAAGAGGAAGAUCCUUCAGCGAAGGUAGCCAAAGUAGAAGUGCCGCAGGUAAGGCCUGUUAUUAUGCCAAAUUCGCUAGGCAUGGCAUUUCCUCCACGGCCAACUUAUGGUGUAGCACCUCCAAUCUAUAAUCCUGCACUGAAUCCUUUGAUGGCCCGACCUCCAAUUUGGCCUACUCCACCAGCACAAGCUUGGUAUCCACAACAAGUAGCAUACCCACAACAACCAGCAGUUUCAGUUGCUCCAGUAGUUGCUGGGCUGCCGCCACAACAGCCACUAUUUCCUAUUCAGAAUGUGCCUACUCCUAUGACAUCAGCACCUGCUAAUGUACUUCAGUCAUCGUUUCCUAUGGCUCCUCCAGGAGUACCUUCACCUGUUGCACCUCAGGUUUCCCAGCCUUUGUUUCCUGUUAACACUUCCACUGUCAAUGGAGCUGCAAGUUCCCCAUUUGUAGCAUCUGUUGCACCUGGAACCAUCCCAGCAAGCUCUCCUGCAGCAGUUGGAUAUGGUGUCAAUAGCCAAGGCACUGGAGGUCUAGCUGUUGGAUCUUCACCCGCAGUAUCCAAUAACAAAGCAUCCGGUAACCAGCCAGCUACAAAUGAGGUCUAUCUGGUGUGGGAUGAUGAAGCAAUGUCAAUGGAGGAAAGAAGGUUGUCAUUGCCCAAGUAUCAGGUGCAUGAUGAAACUAGCCAGGUAAGUUGUGUUUUUUAUGUGUAAACUAUUAUUUUAGUUUCUCAAAGAAAAAGGGGUGACCUCUCUGCACUGAGUCAUAGGUAUAUUAUAUUUUGACGCCUCCAACCAAUUCUAGUGUAUGCAUGGUAAUUGUAUCAUUUUUGGUGCUGUUCUCAUAUAGGCAGUUUAUUGUAGGGUAGUAGUAGGAUAAAGUUUAAUAUUAGGCUACAUGCUUUCAAGGUUUUUCAGCUGUCAUGAACUUGGGCUUUGGGGGUGGUCCCAAUUUGCCUGGAACAAUAGUAUUAAACUUGGACUUUAUAAGCACUCGCUUGGGCAAUGGAACAAUAGAUUUUGUGUUAAGCUGGUGGUGGCUUACUGGCUUACCUCAAUUUGUUGCAUUUAGUGACAUUAUAAGCCAUACAUGUUGCGUCAUAUGCUUGUAUGUAAGGAGUGAGUGAACAUCUUGGAAGGUUUCCUGACUUCCUCUACUCUUGACUUGUUGGUUAUACACGGAUACAAACUUGUCCUUAUGUUUUCCUUAUUUGGCAAUACAAACAUUUCUUUCAUGGAUACAAUUGCAACUUUCAUUUUCACUUAUUUUUUUCUUGCACAUGAAAACUUAAAUAGUAUUAAACUUUACUCACAAGGGCAUCUUAUUCGUGAAUGUUCUGUGGGGGAUAUGAAAGUCUCAUCCGGUCAUAGCAUAUGUGAAUCUGAGAUGAUUCGUGUUCUGUGCUACCUUUUUACAUUUUUUACAAAGCACCCGCUGUGUUCAUUUCAUUGAUCACCUAUAUGCUGCUGAUUUCGCGCACAUGAGGAGUUCCAAGUAGGUAUAUACAUCGUUCUUUAAAUAGUAAGUUUUCUAUAAUCUGACAAAUCUCGUGGUGCUAUGCUAAUGACCUGAGGGUUAUCGACCAAGCCCUGGACGGUUGGCAAAUAUGUAUGUAUUUAAUUUCAAUUGAAGCAUUAUUUUUAUUCAUUGCCAAUUCACUGCAUGCAAAUAUGGGUUUGUAGCAAAAACUAGGUGCCUGAGGUUCUGCCAAUACGGUAGCAUUUAUUGUAGCUUAAUUUUGGUCGAGAAUGUGACAAGAGUUUUGCUCCAGAUGAACUCAGUCGAUGCAGCAAUUGACCGAAGAAUAUCAGAAAGUCGGCUAGCAGGACGCAUGGCCCUAUGAAGAAGCUGGGCCUUGCUUGGUAGAUGGUACUUGCAGUUGAGCGAUGGUACUUACAGCAGCGGUCCUCCUGUUCAUUUAGUUAGUCAAUGGAGUUACUUGCAGCUAUAAAGAAUGCGCUGCUUCUGACAUGUCGGGGAGUGUCGAGCUUUUGCUCUUGUAUCUUUCCAGCUGUGCCGAGGAAAUGAAGUGUUAGUCUUUAGAAGUUAUUUGGUCUGUUUUUUAUUUUACCUCACCGGAAAUAUGUUGAUGAUGACUUGCGGCAAGUUCUGCCUGAUUGUAGCGUAAAUGAUAUGCUCCUGAUGGUUUUCGUUGUUUGGAAAGCAAACAGAAAAUUGUUGCCUAUUUGAAUAAUUUGUUCCUAGAAUAUCAUGGAUGAUGCAAUCUUGGAA